UCCGGUUUGUCACCGGCGGUCUCCUUAGAGUUCCCACCAUUACGUGCUGGCAACUAAGGACAAGGGUUGCGCUCGUUGCGGGACUUAACCCAACAUCUCACGACACGAGCUGACGACAGCCAUGCAGCACCUGUGUUCGAGUUCCCGAAGGCACUCCCGCAUCUCUGCGGGAUUCCGAGGAUGUCAAAGGCAGGUAAGGUGGGGAUGACGUAUAGGAGCUCGAC
This 224-nucleotide unclassified non-coding RNA is filed under the name uncultured Lysobacterales bacterium. RNAcentral describes it as "uncultured Xanthomonadales bacterium contains 16S-23S intergenic spacer region". Lineage: Bacteria; Pseudomonadati; Pseudomonadota; Gammaproteobacteria; Lysobacterales. The record is from RNAcentral.